AAGAUGAAGGCGAUGGGCCGCUUCUUCGAUGAAGGCGACAAGGUCAAGGUGACGCUGAAGUUCCGCGGGCGUGAAAUGGCCCACCAGGAACUCGGCAUGAAGCUUCUUCAGCAGGUCAAGGCCGACACGACCGAGAUCGCCAAGGUGGAGGCCGAGCCCAAGCUCGAAGGCCGCCAGAUGAUGAUGGUGCUGGCGCCGAAGUAAGCGCCAGAUACUUUUUCGCCCCAAGGCCGUCCGCAAGGGCGGCUUUUGUGCUUUGCGCCACCGUAUUAUGGGCCUUUGUUUCAUGCAUGUCGUUAUCCCGGA
This 306-nucleotide unclassified non-coding RNA is filed under the name Rhizobium aethiopicum. RNAcentral describes it as "Long range pseudoknot". The record is from RNAcentral. Lineage: Bacteria; Pseudomonadati; Pseudomonadota; Alphaproteobacteria; Hyphomicrobiales; Rhizobiaceae.